AUUGAACGCUGGCGGCAUGCUUUACACAUGCAAGUCGAACGGCCGCGCGGGCUUCGGCCUGGCGGCGAGUGGCGAACGGGUGAGUAAUGCAUCGGAACGUGCCCAGUCGUGGGGGAUAGCCCGGCGAAAGCCGGCUUAAUCCCGCAUCCGACCUGAGUGUGAAAGCGGGGGACCGAAAGGCCUCGCGCUAUUUGCGCGGCCGAUGUCGGAUUAGCUAGUUGGUGGGGUAAAGGCUUACCAAGGCGACGAUCCGUAGCUGGUCUGAGAGGACGACCAGCCACACUGGGACUGAGACACGGCCCAGACUCCUACGGGAGGCAGCAGUGGGGAAUUUUGGACAAUGGGGGCAACCCUGAUCCAGCCAUGCCGCGUGCGGGAAGAAGGCCUUCGGGUUGUAAACCGCUUUUGUUCGGGAAGAAAUCCUCUGGGCUAAUACCCCGGGGGGAUGACGGUACCGGAAGAAUAAGCACCGGCUAACUACGUG
Molecule: ribosomal RNA, 484 nt
Filed under: uncultured bacterium
Lineage: Bacteria
Description: partial 16S ribosomal RNA
Rfam family: Bacterial small subunit ribosomal RNA
Source: RNAcentral